Molecule: ribosomal RNA, 253 nt
Filed under: uncultured bacterium
Lineage: Bacteria
Description: partial 16S ribosomal RNA
Rfam family: Bacterial small subunit ribosomal RNA
Source: RNAcentral
UACGUAGGGUGCGAGCGUUAAUCGGAAUUACUGGGCGUAAAGCGUGCGCAGGCGGUUCGUUGUGUCUGAUGUGAAAGCCCCGGGCUUAACCUGGGAAUGGCAUUGGAAACUGGCGAGCUGGAGUGUGGCAGAGGGGGGUGGAAUUCCGCGUGUAGCAGUGAAAUGCGUAGAGAUGCGGAGGAACACCGAUGGCGAAGGCAACCCCCUGGGCUGACACUGACGCUCAGGCACGAAAGCGUGGGGAGCAAACAGG